This 336-nucleotide ribosomal RNA is filed under the name Triticum aestivum (bread wheat). RNAcentral describes it as "partial small subunit ribosomal RNA". Lineage: Eukaryota; Viridiplantae; Streptophyta; Magnoliopsida; Poales; Poaceae. The record is from RNAcentral.
AUGGUGCUAUUGGAAAUCAUAUCAGGAAGGAGGAAUUCUUCACCUGAAACAUCAUACGACACUAGCAGCAGCAACAGUAACCAGAAUAUUGAAUACUUCCCUGUGCAAGCCAUCAGCAAGCUUCACGAUGGAGAUUUGAAGAGUUUGGUGGAUCCACGGUUACAUGGUGGCAUCAACUUGGAAGAGGCUGAAAGGGUUUGCAAAGUUGCAUGUUGGUGCAUCCAAGAUAAUGAGCUGGAUCGGCCGACCAUGGGUGAAGUAGUCCGGGUUCUCGAGGGUCUACAGGAGAUUGAUGUGCCCCCAAUACCAAGACUGCUUGCAGCUAUAGCGGAAUAA